CCUACGGGAGGCAGCAGUGGGGAAUAUUGCGCAAUGGGCGAAAGCCUGACGCAGCGACGCCGCGUGAGGGAUGAAGGUCUUCGGAUCGUAAACCUCUGUCAGCAGGGAAGAACGGUCACUGUGCUAAUCAGCAGUGAAUUGACGGUACCUGCAAAGGAAGCACCGGCUAACUCCGUGCCAGCAGCCGCGGUAAUACGGAGGGUGCGAGCGUUAAUCGGAAUUACUGGGCGUAAAGCGCUCGUAGGCGGUAUGUCAAGUCAAGGGUGAAAUCCCCGCGCUCAACGUGGGAACUGCCUUUGAAACUGGCAAACUGGAGUGUGUGAGAGGAAAGUGGAAUUCCGGGUGUAGGAGUGAAAUGCGUAGAUAUCUGGAGGAACAUCAGUGGCGAAGGCGACUAUCUGGCACAUAACUGACGCUGAGGAGCGAAAGCGUGGGUAGCAAACAGGAUUAGAUACCCUAGUAGUC
RNAcentral lists this ribosomal RNA (465 nucleotides) under uncultured bacterium. RNAcentral describes it as "partial 16S ribosomal RNA". It matches the Rfam family "Bacterial small subunit ribosomal RNA", at positions 338 to 795 of the family's 1533-position model. The record is from RNAcentral.